RNAcentral lists this ribosomal RNA (715 nucleotides) under gamma proteobacterium GM16. Its description in RNAcentral is "bacterial SSU rRNA". It matches the Rfam family "Bacterial small subunit ribosomal RNA", at positions 68 to 775 of the family's 1533-position model. The record is from RNAcentral. Lineage: Bacteria; Pseudomonadati; Pseudomonadota; Gammaproteobacteria.
AACAGAAAGUAGCUUGCUACUUUGCUGACGAGCGGCGGACGGGUGAGUAAUGCCUGGGAAUAUGCCUUGAUGUGGGGGAUAACUAUUGGAAACGAUAGCUAAUACCGCAUAAUGUCUUCGGACCAAAGAGGGGGAUCUUCGGACCUCUCGCGUCAAGAUUAGCCCAGGUGAGAUUAGCUAGUUGGUGGGGUAAGAGCUCACCAAGGCGACGAUCUCUAGCUGGUCUGAGAGGAUGAUCAGCCACACUGGAACUGAGACACGGUCCAGACUCCUACGGGAGGCAGCAGUGGGGAAUAUUGCACAAUGGGCGAAAGCCUGAUGCAGCCAUGCCGCGUGUAUGAAGAAGGCCUUCGGGUUGUAAAGUACUUUCAGUCGUGAGGAAGGGUGUGCAGUUAAUAGCUGUACAUCUUGACGUUAGCGACAGAAGAAGCACCGGCUAACUCCGUGCCAGCAGCCGCGGUAAUACGGAGGGUGCGAGCGUUAAUCGGAAUUACUGGGCGUAAAGCGCAUGCAGGUGGUUCAUUAAGUCAGAUGUGAAAGCCCGGGGCUCAACCUCGGAACCGCAUUUGAAACUGGUGAACUAGAGUGCUGUAGAGGGGGGUAGAAUUUCAGGUGUAGCGGUGAAAUGCGUAGAGAUCUGAAGGAAUACCAGUGGCGAAGGCGGCCCCCUGGACAGACACUGACACUCAGAUGCGAAAGCGUGGGGAGCAAACAG